UACGGAGGGUGCAAGCGUUAUCCGGAUUCACUGGGUUUAAAGGGUGCGUAGGUGGGUUGGUAAGUCAGUGGUGAAAUCUCCAGGCUUAACUUGGAAACUGCCAUUGAUACUAUCAAUCUUGAAUACCGUGGAGGUCAGCGGAAUAUGUCAUGUAGCGGUGAAAUGCUUAGAUAUGACAUAGAACACCAAUUGCGAAGGCAGCUGGCUACACGAAUAUUGACACUGAGGCUCGAAAGCGUGGGGAUCAAACAGG
This 253-nucleotide ribosomal RNA is filed under the name uncultured bacterium. RNAcentral's name for it is "partial 16S ribosomal RNA". It matches the Rfam family "Bacterial small subunit ribosomal RNA", at positions 524 to 776 of the family's 1533-position model. The record is from RNAcentral.